RNAcentral lists this ribosomal RNA (460 nucleotides) under uncultured bacterium. RNAcentral's name for it is "partial 16S ribosomal RNA". It matches the Rfam family "Bacterial small subunit ribosomal RNA", at positions 338 to 795 of the family's 1533-position model. The record is from RNAcentral.
CCUACGGGUGGCAGCAGUGAGGAAUAUUGGUCAAUGGCCGGGAGGCUGAACCAGCCAAGUCGCGUGAGGGAAGACGGCCCUACGGGUUGUAAACCUCUUUUGUCAGGGAGCAAGGUGCAGGUCGGGACCUGCUGUGAGAGUACCUGAAGAAAAAGCAUCGGCUAACUCCGUGCCAGCAGCCGCGGUAAUACGGAGGUUGCGAGCGUUAUCCGGAUUUAUUGGGUUUAAAGGGAGCGUAGGCCACAUGUCAAGCGUGCUGUGAAAUGUCCGGGCUCAACCCGGGCAUUGCAGCGCGAACUGGCGUGCGUGAGUGCGCGUGAGGCAGGCGGAAUUCGUGGUGUAGCGGUGAAAUGCUUAGAUAUGAGGAAGAACCCCGAUUGCGAAGGCAGCUUGCUGCAGCGGAACUGACGCUGAUGCUCGAAAGCGCGGGUAUCGAACAGGAUUAGAUACCCGGGUAGUC